GCUCGGCAUUCAGCUUUCUGUUAAGGAAUUUUAGGGAGCUCCCGAGCCUGUGAACCAGUUCCAUUGUUUCAAGGGGACCUCAAUGGAAGAGUUAGAGAAAAGACUGAAGGAGCUGAAGGGGUUUGCAACCCCAUAGGAAGAACAGCAAUACCAAUCAACCAGACUCCACCAGCGUUCCCAGGGACUAAACCACCAACCAAUGAGUACACAUGGAGGGGCCCAUGACUUCAGCCACAUAUAUUGCAGAGGAUGGCACUGUCCACUAUCAAUAGGAAGGAAAGCCCUUGACUCUGAAGGCUUGCUUCCUCAAUGUAGGGGAAUGAGGUUGGCGUGGGUGGGUGGGAGUGGGAGUGUCCUCAUAGAAGCAGGCAGAGGGGGAGGGGGUAUGGGAGAACCAGGGAAAGGGGACAAUAUUUGAAAUGUAAAUACAUAAAAUAUCCAAGAAAAAUAAAAUUUAAAAAACCAUU
RNAcentral lists this long non-coding RNA (467 nucleotides) under Rattus norvegicus (Norway rat). RNAcentral describes it as "long non-coding RNA NONRATT024985". The record is from RNAcentral. Lineage: Eukaryota; Metazoa; Chordata; Mammalia; Rodentia; Muridae.